UAUAAAUUUAUUAAAUUAUUUAUUGAAUUAAUAUUUAAAAUAAAAAAUUUAUUUUUAUUAUAAAAAAGAAAAAUUAAAGUUUAUUAUAGUGAAUUAGUAUUGAAAAAGAAUAUUUUAAAAUAUUAAAAGAAAAAUUAAAUUUUUGUACCUUGUGUAUCAGGGUUGAUUUAUUAAUUAUUAAAUAUUUAGUUUUCUCGAAUUUAAAAGAGCUAAUUUUAUAUAAAUUUUAUUGUUAAAUAAAUAUUUAUAAUAUAAAAUUAGAAAUGAAACGUUAUUCGUUUUUAAAUAUAUCUAGUUUCUUAAGAAAUAAAUUUAAUUUAAAAUUUAUAAAUAUAUUUAUAUUUAUAUAUUAAUAUGUUAAUAAAAUUAAAAAAUUUUGGGGAUGAGCUUAAAGUUUUAUUUUUAAAAAAUUUUUAAUUAUAGUAAAUUUGUAGGAUUAAUAAUUUUCAUCAUUAAAAUUUUGUUAUAAUUAGUUUAUUAUUUUAAAUUAUUUGUAUGAUUUUUAAAUUUUAUAUUAAGAUUAUAAUUUAAACUUAUUAAAUUAUGUAAUAAUGAUUAAAUUAGUAAAAAUUUUUUUAUAUUUAAAAAAAAUAUAAAAGGUAUAAAAAAGGAAUUCGGCAAAUUUAUUUUUCACCUGUUUAUUAAAAACAUGGCUUAUUGUUAUUUUAAUUUUAAGUCUAGCCUGCCCACUGAAGUUUUAAAUGGCCGCGGUAUUUUGACCGUGCAAAGGUAGCAUAAUCAUUAGUUUUUUAAUUGAAAGCUUGUAUGAAUGGUUGGAUGAAAAAAUUUCUGUCUCUUUUAUAAUAUUUGAACUUUAUUUUUAAGUUAAAAAGCUUAAAUAAAUUUAAAAGACGAGAAGACCCUAUAGAGUUUUAUUUUAUUUUUUUAAAUGAUUUUUGGAAUUAAUUAAUUUUUUAGAAAUAUAAAAUUUAAUUGGGGUGAUUAAAAAAUUUAAUAAACUUUUUUUUGUUAUUAACAAUAAUAAUUGAAAUAUUGAUCCAUUAUUAAUGAUUAUAAGAUAAAAUUACCUUAGGGAUAACAGCGUAAUUUUUUUUGAGAGUUCAUAUUGAAAAAAAAGAUUGCGACCUCGAUGUUGGAUUAAAAUUAAUUUUUGGUGCAGAAGCUAAAAAUUUUAAGUCUGUUCGACUUUUAAAAUUUUACAUGAUCUGAGUUUAAACCGGCGUGAGCCAGGUUGGUUUCUAUCUUUAAAUUAUUAAAAUAUUUUAGUACGAAAGGACCAAGUAUUUAAUUUAAAAUUUUUUUUUUGAUUAAUAUU
Molecule: ribosomal RNA, 1276 nt
Filed under: Cryptolestes ferrugineus
Lineage: Eukaryota; Metazoa; Arthropoda; Insecta; Coleoptera; Laemophloeidae
Also listed under: 1 other name
Description: 16S ribosomal RNA
Rfam family: Archaeal large subunit ribosomal RNA (bases 588-1276)
Source: RNAcentral